Molecule: long non-coding RNA, 7376 nt
Organism: Alexandromys fortis (reed vole)
Lineage: Eukaryota; Metazoa; Chordata; Mammalia; Rodentia; Cricetidae
Exons: 5
Source: RefSeq, a predicted model, not a curated record
CUUCUCUUUCUAUACACAGAAUAUUUGGAGGCUUCAGGAAGGAGGAAUCACAGGGUAAAAAAGGCACCAACCAAGACCCGCUCUGCGUUUGUACACGAGCAAGGAGCAGGCUUUAUUCCUGAAGCCACUGAUGUUGCAGUCGGGUGAUGGCAGCAGGGUGCGUUACCCUAACAAUCCGAUCUCGUGGACUUGAGCAACAGCGAGUGGACACAGAGCAGCUGUCUGUGGGCCCACUGAAGACUCUCAGUGACUUGUCAGGACACUGGACGAGGGUGACAUUUCAUAGUUCCAUAACAGGGAUGGGCAGAGCUGCCUCAGUGGCUGCAGGACCCUCAUCCAACCCCGAGAGAGGGAACCCUGAGAAUGGCUGAAACUGGACUUCCUGUCACAUACAAAUAGGUUUGAAAUGACCGACAGCAGCAGCACACGUUCUCCAGUUCCCCACCCUGGCAAGUUGGCGGGAGGUCAGUUCCAGGGUUAAGAGUGCUGCCUCCUGUCCUCCGUGUCUCUCUCAUGUCUCAGGCGAGGGCAGGCCUGUCUUCUGAUUCUGGACGUGCAGAACGAACCACGGGAAGGAGCCACCAGGGUCUGUACCCUGCGUUAUACUCCAGCAGUGCUAAGAAUCUGGCUGGGUUCUGACUACUUGGGAAGCCCACCACCUUUAGCAUGCAUGCACGCACGCACUUCUGCCCAGGACCUACGUUUUGAAUGAAGCUGAGUCUCCUACAUCUUUUGGAAAAGCAAAAGCCGAGACGGCUCCAGUUUCCAGACACUUGGCAGAGUUGAGAGUUGUGGCGGCCGGGCCUACACAUCCUCCAGAUGUUGAAACAUGUUAGACCGGGACCACCCCCCCUCCAAGGUUUUUUCGGGCCAAUGACGGAUGUGGCAGGGUUAUGGAGGUGACUGAAGACUGGAGAUGCUCAGGAGGCGCUGAAGUAACAGAGACUACUUGAGCAGCAGAGGAGGCGGCACAGUGCAAGUCCUUCACCUCCGUUCCACCCUGGCCCUGAGGAAACUGGUCCACCAGGAGGCACAAGAACGGCUGGGUUUCCCCCGACUGUGAGUUCCACGUCUACAUGGUCAACCAGCUGCGGAUGGAGAGGAAAAGACUGAUCUGGAAUGUGGUACAGGCACAUUCAUUCCUGUCACCCCAGUAAAGGAGGAUCCCGAAUCUGAGGCUGGUCUGGCUACACGGAGUGCAAUGAGACAGACUGAUUCUCCUGCCUUGCUGUCUGAUUUACUUACUUCUCGAGGAUAAAUGACAUUCAGGAGGGGCUGCUGCUCAGAAUCCCAGGGCCCUAGAAGAAAAGGCCUUUGCAUGUCUUAGAAAUGCCAGUUCUGUUUAGUCUCAGCGACGUCACCCAGCCUGUGCAACAUCCUGCAUUCUUGUUCUGCUCUGCUCCUGUGCUCUCUGGGAAGGCAGCUUCUUGGAUGGCUCUGUAUUGCUGCACUUGCCUAAAAGUGACACCAUCCUUCAGGGCUCCUGCUUCAUGAAAGAGUCUGCCAUGCAUUCUGCAGGAUACAGAAGAAAAUGACUGACAAACUGACAAUAUAGGCAGACCUGUCUUUGAAAUUUCCUACUUUAUGAAAAAAUCUGUUGGAUACUAUAGGCCUGUAGGCUGAAGAUGGAUGACCCAAUGGUACAGAAGAACUUUGGGUGACUUCUGGAGUCUUUGAUGAUGUUGAAGAAUUUAUAGUUAUAGAUAUAUAGAUAUAGUUAUAUGAUAUAGUUAUUAUGAAAGAUAAAGUAGAUGUAAACAUUGUAACUAAUUCUUGCUUGAUAACUGUUUUGUUAUAUGUAAUUUUACUAUGUUAAAAAAGGGGGUGGUGAUUUGGGAGGUGAUGUAUGCUGGAAUACCAUUGGUUAAUAAAGAAACUGUCUUGGGCCUGUGCAGGGAAUAGAGGUAGGCUGGGAAAGCUAGACUGAAUGCUGAGAGAAAGAGGGUGGAGUCAGGGAGAAGCCAUGGAGCUGCUGCUGGAGUCAGACAUGCUGAAACUUUGCUGGUAGGUCACGACCUCAUGGCGACACACAGAUUAAUGGAGAUGGGUUAAAUUAAUAUGUAAGAGUUAGCAAAUAAGAAGCUAGAGCUAAUGGGCCAAGCAGUGAUUUAAAUAAUACAGUUUCUGUGUGAUUAUUUCAGGUCUGAGCUGCCAGGUGGCCAGGAAACAAACAAGCGACCUAUUAUAACAGCUCUGUAUUAAAACUCAGCUUAGGUGUCUUGCCUUUACCCCCACGCAGCAUGUGAACUGAUCUGUGUGGUUCUGUGGAUCAGUGACAGGAUGGGGUUAAGAGAAAAAUCUGCUCCUUGUACAGAUUAAUCCAUGAUUGGUAAAGCAUUCAUCAACUUGUAGGAAAGAAUAUAAAUGCCCGUCAAGGGACAGUCACGUUGCUGACACAGUGUUGGGUAUUUGGGGGCAGUUCCGUUGAGCUCCCAGACAGUCUCCAAGCUGGUAACCCCACGGCUCCCUGCCUCACACGCAGCUCAACUCCAGGCAGUUGUUCAGCUGGUUGGUAUUACAAAGUGCAGCCAGCUGAUCACAUUUAAUGGCUCGAAUAGACCUCUGAUAAACUUUUUAUUUUAAAAAAAAAAAAGGGGGCAAUGGCUUCACCAAGGCAGUAGGGUUAUCUUGCAUAUGAGGAAAGCAUGGGCAACCUAGUAAGACCUUGCCUAAUGAAAGCAAACAAACAAACAAACAAAUAGAAAACCAAAUCUAGGGUUGGGACUUCACAGGAAGGGUAAACACCUAAUGUGUUUGUUACAAAAAGAAAUGCCAGACAGACAUGAUGCUGUGUAAUCCUGUACUUUAUCCAUGUGUGCCCAGCGCAGGAAUAUAGGAGGAAGUGCACAGACUUGCCCUCCGCACACUCUUAGGAGAUGGCUCCAGACUACAGGUGGGACCGGCCCUAUGUCCUCCGUGAUUGCAUAUAUAUGCAAAGCUAUAAAACGACAACAAACAAACACAAAAAACACAAACCUUUUUCUUUUUUUUUUUUUGUUUUUGUUUUUGUUUUUGUUUUUUGAGACAGGGUUUCUCUGUAGCUUUGGUGCUUGUCCCGGAACUAGCUCUUGUAGACCAGGCUGGCCUCGAACUCCCAGAGAUCCGCCUGCCUCUGCCUCCCGAGUGCUGGGGUUAAAGGCAUUUUUGCCACCACAAGAUGUGGUGGUGGCACACGCCUUUAAUCCCAGCCUGGCUUUCUUCACUUUUUAAAAAUCACAGCUGCAGUGAUUAUGUAUUUAUGCUGAGAACUAUUUUGUUUUUGUUCUGUGGUCUUUCACCUACUUAUCCAAUAACCUUUAAAGCCCAAAUCUUCACAUUCUCCUAUAACAGAGACAAACCACUUUUAGUUCUCGCCCUUCCUUUCUCACAUCUUGUGACAAAUAUCUAUCUAGCUAUCUAUCCGGCUUAGUUAAGGUUUUUAUUGCUGUAAAGAGACACCAGACUAUGACAACUCUUAUCAUUUAAUUGGGGUGGCUUACAGUUUCAGGGAUUUAGUCCAUUAUCAUCGUGAUGGGGAGCCUGGCAGCGUGCAGACAGACAUGAUGGUGGAAUAGCUGAGACCCAUACAUCUUGCAGGCAACAGGAAGUUGACAGACAAUCACACUGAGAGAAGUUUGAACAAAAGAGACCUCAAAGCCCACCCCCACAGUGGCACACCUCCUCCAACAAGGCCACACCUCCUAAUAGUGCCGCGCUGUUUGGGGGCCAUUUUCUUUCAAACCGCGGUUCUCUGCCUGCCUUUCUCUGUGACAGUGCCAUGGAGCAGUCAUGUUGGCAUUUCUUUCUGCACCUUGUAUACAGUUACCUCAUCCAAGGCUCAAGGAAACCGAGGUAAAGGGGAUGAGAAGAAUUUAAGAGCCAAACGAUGAGAAACCCUUCUGUGGGACAGUCUUCUGGACAUGUCACAGGAGCAGUGGCUACCCACUGACACAAGACUGGGCAAGUCAAUGACCCACUCUGGAGGAGGACAGGGCUCAUAAGGGCCACGCCUUCCAGAGGAGUCAUAGGCAGUUAAUGGUUGCUAGGAGAUGAGAAGUCAUAUUCCUUAGUGGUGUAGACAUUGGGAAAUUGCCUUUGUUCAAGUAAAUAACUCCCUAGCCAUGCUCAUGAAGACGAUUCUAACCAAAUGCAGUGGGCCACAAACAAAGACAUGAACAUAAGUGUGGGGGUUCUCACUGUGGGAGGUUAAGAGGAUAGUAAUGGGGUGUGAUCCAAGCCUAGCUAUAGAGAGAUGUAGGUAUAGCUAUAUACGUGAAUAUAUAAUAGAUUUGAAAAGGGAAGCAAAACACCCCCAACACUCUGCCACCCAGUGUUUUCAAUUCUCCAUGAGAACUGUCUUUUAGUUUCAUUUCGUUUUGUUUUCUGCAUCGAAAGAAACUUUCAUAAAUGAGUAAGAGGCAACUCAAGAACCCAGCUGAGGGCCUGAAUAAGCAAUUCCCAGAAAAAGAAACACAAAUGGCUUUUAAACGUGAAAAAUGCUUAGACUAGAUGCUUGUUAAAGGGAAAAAAAAUUAAAAGUUGUGUAAGAAAUGCAACCUGAUCCACAGCCUGGCUUGGCCACACAUAAUAUUGAUACUCUAAAUGUAACCGGCCAGCGAACAGAAUGGACUGGGAAUGGUCCAGCUACAGACCUCUCUGUCACCUCCGUUCUUCCACCCUGCCUCCUGAGUGCUAGGAUUAAGAUGCUCAGUCUUUGUGCAGGCAUGCACGUGUGUGUGUGUGUGUGUGUGUGUGCGCGUGUGCGUGCAUGUGGGGGUGUGCAUGUGUGUGCGAGUGUGUGUUUAAACACCAUAAAGGACAAUUUGCAGGGGUCUGUUCUUUGCUUCCACCGUGUGGAGCCUGGCAAUCAAACUCCAGUUGUCCCACUUUUUAAAUUGUGGGUUCUGGGGAUGGAUUGAGGUCCUUGUAGGUGCAGGACAACGUUUUACCUCCUGAGCUAUUUCCCCAGCCUUCUCAUAGGUUAUUGCAAAAAUCAAAAUCCAUGACACAUGUCACAUGCUUAGACAUGCAUGAGACUGUUGUCCUUGUCAUUGUUGCUGGUUUUCUUCCGACUGGUCAUGGGAUGUAACUUUGUCCUGUAGGGAUGACCUCUACCCAUCCCCAGUGAGCCUGUUAGCCAUGACUCUCCUGCUGUCUGCUGUACAACUCAAGAGUGUGGCUGACAUGAACUAUAAUAGAAUAACCUACUUCAUACAACACUUGCAUAACUUCCUGAGGAGGUCUUUGCCAUUUUCCUUACUGCUUAUAGGUCACUGUGUCAGUAAAAUAACAGGCCAGUGUGGUUCAGCUUCACCCUGAUGCCAGUUGACUAUGUUCUCAGACAUCGACAAAUAAAUCGCUGGCCUUGGGCAUAGCACUAAUUCAGACAGCUGGGUCAGAACACGGGCCAGUUGCCCUUCAAGACCUGCGAGCUAGAAAGAACCUUUGCGGUAUUCUUAAGGGUGUGUGAAAAAUCAGACUCAAAAUAAAACCUGAUAUGAACAAAACCAAAGACUUCAGAGACUGGCAUGUGUAUCUUAAAUCCCCCACUGGUGGGACUGGAGGGCUCCCCUCAAUACCAGUCCUAAUAACUGGAGAGGUAUACACUGCGCCUACGAUGUGCAGAGCUGCUGAUGGCCCGAGCAGAUAAUGGUACAGAAGAAGAUGAUGGGAAAGUGUUGCCGAUGUGAUUUCAUUUAUGUUAUAAUAAUGACAAGCCAGUGCGUCUCUAGAUCCGUAAAAAAAUGCAUAAAGGAAGUUCACUUAAGUAUAGUGUGGUUGUCUCUGAGUGGUAGAAUUUAGUGCGAUUUCUUUUUUCUCUUUUUACUUCUUUUUCACUGUAAGUUACAGAACUAAAAGAACUUUGUUGAAAUCUACAAACACAUCAUUUUUGUAGUCUAGAUACAACAAAACCCACAUUUUUCUGAAGAAUAAUAUAUAUGUUAAUAUAUAUAUAUAUCCUUUCUAAGCUCAGCUAACCUUCUGUGCCUCAGUUUCUCCCAUCAUAAAACAGACAGGAAUAGUCUCUUUAAGAUUAUAAAAAUCAAAUUCUUUAAUAUGUGCAAAAUUCUUGGAACUCAAAAUACUGGAAUAUUUAAUGCUACUUGUGUAGGGUUUUCCACAGACACAGGAACAAGAAUAUACAGAGACAAAAAAGGAGAGAUUAUAGAACUGGGCCCCAUGAUUAUGGAUGCCAGGAAGCUUCAGCUGUACUCUGCAAGCUGAAAACCUGGAAAAUUGAUCCAGAAGCCUGAGUCCCCAGGGGCCAAAGAUUCCCCAACUGGAGUCCCAGCCCAACGUCCAUUCACUCCUCCCUCUGCCUUUUUGUUCUAUCCAGACUCUCAGUAGACUGGAGAACAAGCUUAUACACUGGUGAGGGCCAUGCCUUCUACCGGUCUAUCCAUCUGAAUACUAAUCUCUUCUAGAAACUCCCUCACAAAUGCCUAUAAACCACGUCUUACCAGUUAUGAGAGAGUCCGUUCCUCCAGGGAAGCUGACACAUGGCAUUGUAGAUGGUGAUGGCUGGUGGUGCUUUUCUUAAAGCUCCACACCAUGCAAUGGUGUAGAUAGAACAGGAAUUACAGGAGCAAGGAUAAUGACAAAUUGCUGUUGCAAGGCCAUGAGCUAGACGUGUGAUAAUUGGGAAGAAAGCGGUGGUCAUUGUUGACACAUUUCUACGGUUAGGACGACUGCAGUUGCUUGGCAACUACAAGAAGUGCUUUGCUGAGAUUGUUUUAUCUAUUAUUAGUGUGUGUCCCUGUAUGCAGGUGAGGGCCCCAGCCAUCAGAGGUCAUCUUUGUGGAGUCCAUUCUUUCUCCACCUCCACCUGAGUUCCAGGCAUUGAACUCGGGUCCUUCAGCUUGAGCAGCCAGUGUCCCACCCACUGAGCUAUCUCAUUGGUCCAGGAAAAAUGAACUUUUUUUUCAAGACAUGGUUUCUCUGUGUAACUACCCUGGCUGUCCUGUACUAACAUGCCCGGCUAAUAGACUCAUUUUUAAAUUGAUAAAUUUCAAAACCAUGUUCUAGAUUCAUAAUGAAACAAGCGAUCUUUACAAACUGCAGUGAGGGGCUCUUCACAGCACACAAGGGUACACGCUGCAUGUGUGCAGUGCAGUUCAGGAUUCCAAGCUCUGCACAUGGUCCUGAAUCUCAGCUUUAUAUAGGAAAUACUUGUCUCUGGCUCUCCAUAGUGCCACCCCAACUCAGCUGCGUCUGCCUUCUGCUGAUUAGGGCAUCUGGACUUGAACUCCAGGUCCAGGUUAUGUCAUGAGAUGACAACUGAUGAAGAAUGUGGAAGCAAAGGCGAGUCAUCCUCCAACCUUUGCAGAGGACCCAGGUGAAGAAACCCGGGUGAAAAAGAGGGAGACACUGGCUCAAAAAACAAAAAACAAAAACAA